Aedes albopictus (Asian tiger mosquito) is the source of this 12859-nucleotide long non-coding RNA. RefSeq lists it as uncharacterized. The transcript is spliced from 2 exons. The record is from RefSeq and is a predicted model, not a curated record. Lineage: Eukaryota; Metazoa; Arthropoda; Insecta; Diptera; Culicidae.
ACUUACCGGGCGCCCAUCCCGCUUAAAAUUCAUCUCAAGUCAGGCCCCCCCUGGGCCCCCUCCAGGAAAAAAUCCUAGUUACGCCAAUGUCAACAACCCGUUUCAUUCAUAACAACGCAACGUAACGGCUGCAACACAGCACUCUGUCAUCGAUAGGCCCAAAUGGCCCAAAUCGUUGGCGCUGUGGGACCUCUUCAGGUCCUCACAAAGAGUGUCCGUCGGUCGCGGUGGCGGUGGUAGUAAUCGCUCAGCGCGACCAGGAAGAGAUAUGGGCAAACGUCGAGAUCGCGAACCCUCGGCAGGGGGUACACGAUCGAGUUUCAAUUCAAUGAAUGAAAGCCGAGUCAACCAGGCGGUGCAGCCAACGUUGUUGUUUGGCUUGAAAUGCUGGCCAAUUUUCGGCGGAAACAGGAUUUCUAUUUUUAUCGGAUUGGGGGCUCCUUUUGCGACCCAUUCAGUUGGCGGCUGUUUGAUGCAGUCACGAGGUUUGUGCACCGAGUAUUUUAAGAGUGAUGGCGCGAACUUCGAGUGUCGCAAGGAAACAGAUCGUCAGCAACUGUCACGCAGUUGUCUUGGUCGGGUUCUGCCACCGGUGUCUGCGGUAGUAGCGUUGGGGUACGACGUUCAUAUCGGAUGGGAGAUUGAUGGAUGUUUGCGACCGGGUUCUGCCUCGAGUGAGUGACAGACGAUAUAAAAGCAUGUUUUGAAGCAGACUUGACCAUAUUUGAACAUGGAGAAAAUCGGAUUCGUUCUGCUUCGUAUGGUCGUUCAUUCAGAAACUAGUACCGGACAAGGUUGCUAGAAUCGACAACAGUCAAGUAAGGGAUAUCUUUGAAAUGACUUCCAGAUGUAAAACAGCCUGCAAGAUACAUACAAAUAGUUUAUAUACCGCCCCCUUAAUGCUAGAACUAGGUAACUGGUUUUGCAAAAUUUCGAGAGUUUUGUUUAUAUCUGAACAUACACCACAAUAAACAAAAGUUUAUCCAUUGGAACUACGAAAACACAUAAUGAUUCAUCUUUUAAGACCAACAAAAUGCUUGUUAUAUACCAGGAUUAGUUUUACCAGCCAUUUUUAUCCGCACUUCCAAAAACGAGUUACCUAGUUCUAGCAUUAAGGGGGCGAUAUAUUCUAUAACAGUUUAACAAUCCGAAGGAUGAAAACAUUAAAACAAUUCAGCACAAACACCAACAGAAAUUUGUUACGCUUAGCUCUAAAAAAACAACAAAUGCAGCGUGGAAUGCGUAAUGUCUUCAAAUUAAAUUUCAUGAGGAUCUAUCUCUUCUACAUUGCCCGUGUAGCUGCCGGCUUAGAAUAGCACUACGGACCACCUGUUCCGGGGACAAAAGUCCACCAAACAGGUAACCCCAAUCCAAGGUGUCAGACGGUCGACCCGUGCUGAUGGAUGAAUGGUUGAGGGGGUUUAAAAGAUGCUCGAUCUUUAACGGAACCCGUAAAGUGGGCAGAUCAACUUUUCGGGUUGCGUUACGGUUAAAUUUCUACCGAACCGAACCCUAGUGAGAUCCGGUUUGUCAAGCUGGCGUAAUGUCUUUGACUAAUAACCCAAGUAAUAAUGAAUGCUGAACAGUGAGAGUAUUAGCUGAACAAUAGCUGGUUGAUGGUGUCAAUGGCUGAACACAAUGACAGCUGAAUAUUGGUCUGAAGUAUGGUUUGUUCAACCUCUUUAAUCAGCAAUACAUAGAUGGCUGAAUAUCAAGUUGAAUAGAAUUUUAUCCAUCUGGGUCGCCAGCUUUAAAACAUACACUAAUAUGCAGAACUAAUUAUCUAUUGUUCAACCUUUAAUCAAAUAUAUUUUGACAGAUGAGCCAAGCAUGUUUUCGUGAAGUCCACAUCGCUUCUUCAGCCUCAAUACAGACUAAGUUCAACUUAUGUUCUUGACUAUUCAGACACAACAAGUAAUGCUCUUGUUUUCGAGGAUAAGUAUAUAUGAUUACUGAUUAAGCGCAUAUUAAGCCUUAAAUCAGCCUUCCAAUGAACCACAAAUCAGCUCAAGGUUGAAUAAAAUAACCAACAUUAGAUGUUUAGGAGCUGAAUAAAGGAUUGUACCUCUUGUGCUCAGUUUUUGUUCAAAUGAAGGCUGAUUUUAAAUAGUAGGAGAAAUGUUUGUACAGCAUCAAAUUGUUACCUGGGAAGGAUUCAUGGUGGAAAGUUCUUGUUACUGGUAACAGUUCCUAAAGUUUCAUUUACACUGCCUUGCUGAUAGUUAAAGACUCAGAAUUUUCCCAACCGGGACUAUACUUGAUGUUAGGAAAACAAACAUGCUUUACUUCUCUAAUUGCGUACUAACCUAUUAAGGACUGAUAAAUGCUGGAAAUUCAAGGACGCACGUGUAUUUUUAUUGCAGAAAACAUUCUCCAAUUUGACAGAGUUUUGCAACUAGCCGAAAGCCCGGGGUUUUCCUUUGUUAUCCUGGGCCUAAACAUUCAUGAGGCUAGAGCUCCGAUGCAUGGAUAAAUAUCAGUACUAUUAUUUUAUGCUCUCAAAAAUCAAAUCGAUUGUGUUUGAUUAGGGGUGUUCUUUCCUUGGGAUUUAAAUACCUGUGAAAACGGGACCUUUUCAUCGCAUUCGGUUUCUUGAACCUCUGAGGUAAUGAAACAAGAACUGUACAGAAAUCGAUCUUGCCUCUCAAUGACAUUGGAGUAGUACGACAUGCACUAAACACAAAAGAUCAAAAUCCUGGUCGCAAAGGCCCAUCCGAACUGAAAAAAAAAUGUCUUCUUCAUGGUAUCUGACAUAGAUAAUUCUCUCAGGUUAUAAUCCUCUCGUGUACGCUUCACCAUUGACAGGUUCUCUGAGACACCAUAUGUAUAUAAAACAAGCUAUUUAUGGAUAUCCGAUCAACUUCGGUUUACAUAUAAUUCUCGCCUUUUUAACAAGUGUAGAAUUAGCUUAAGCUUACACAAUAAUAAAAAUUAAAAAAAAAACAUUUUUAACAAAAAAUUGUAAUUGGAAACUUGGUACGUAGCUCUGAUGAUCUUUAAAUUUCAUCGGGAGCACCCGCAUACUCGCCGAUCUACUGAAAGACUGCGGGCUCAGCAUCGUAGCGCUGCGAGAGGUUUUUUGAACAGAAUCCAUAGUGUGAAGGCUUAGAGGCAAUCAUGUCAUCUACCAGCUAAUGUGCAGGUUAAGGAUCAUGAGCUGAUUCUUAAACUUCAGCAUAAUCAACACGCACGCCCUCACUUCGGAAGCACUGAUGCUGUCAAGGACGCAUUCUACGCGUAGCUCACAACAUCAAGAUCAAUAACAUAGAAGAUCUAAACGCUCAGUUAGGCCAAGAGGAGUAAUUCAGACCGACGAUUGGGAAGUUCAGCGCCCCCCAGCUGACGAACGAAAAUGGCCUACGACUCAUCGAUUCCACCGACUCUAAGAACAUGGCCACUCCAACACAGCUUCCCUUCGUUACAACGGGAGAUCACCACAUCAAACGGAAUCGCAAAUUGCCCAUUUUCCGAUCGACGCACGGCACUUCUCCGACAGUAUCUGGUUCAACUGUGCCCAAAACUAUUUGUCAUCAACAAAGUAUGGUACUGGUGACCACCACAGUACAACCUUGUGCGACUGAUGCCUCAGCAUACGCGCAGAAUCUCGGGACGGCUUUGUCAGUCAAAGGCGAGCUCGAUGUUCUCUCUCUGGAGUACAGUAGAGCGGAGUUGACGGAACGAAUUGUUCGAUGAGGAUACAGAACGAUUUUUGAGGAGACGAAUGCAGCGCGGUCGGUAAUGCUGCAGCAUGGAACCCGGCAGAACUAGGGCAGAUACAAACAGAAGCGGAAACAGCAGACCUGCCUCUUUCGGGAGAAGAAGCGCCGUCUGAGCACGAGGAAGUAGAACUGCAUUGCCGUUCUCAAGAAACACGGAAGUUCUACCAGAAGUUCAAUGCAUCCCGCAAAAGCUUCGUGCCGCGUGGCGAAUUCUGCAAGGAUAAGAAUGGAAACCUCUUAACCGACGAAUGUGAGGGGAUUGAUAGAUGGAAGCAGCACUGCGAUGUCCACCUGCAUAGCGAGGAGCACGUAGGCACGGGAGAUCAAGGCAACGGGGGAAACGACAUCGUCAGCGCAGCCAAGAGGACAGAAUUUCUCAUGCUGAGGUAAGUUAAGGAUGGGAUGCCAUUUAUCAGCUCAAAACCAACAAAGCAGCUAGAAAGGAUUGUGUCGCAGCUGCACUUAUCAAGAUAGGCCCGGAAAAAAUGGUCACCUGUCUUCACCGGGAAACUGAACAGCUAUCGGAGGAGUGGCCCAUCCACAAGAAUUGCGACCAUUUGGAAAGUGAGAACUUCAGAGCAAUCAUUAUUUUGAAUGCCGCCUACAGUGCUAUCCCAGGCAAACUUCCGUCGUCUGUCACCUACAACGAAUGAGUUCGUGGGAUGUUAUAAAACCGGCUUCAUCGAUGGCCGACCGACAACGGCCCAUAGUAUUGUGGCGUACUAAUGAUGAUUACGUUUUAUCUUAAAUAUAUCUAUCUAUCUAUCUAUCUAUCUAUCUAUCUAUCUAUCUAUCUAUCUAUAUUUAUAUGAAAAUGAGUUUGAAGUUGCUUUGAGGCAACAAAACUCAAGAACGGAUGAACUGAUCAGCAUGACUCAUGAACGGUUCGAUUCGUAUUAGUGGUGGCUGUGUUUAUAAGUAAUAAAAGUUACGAAAAUGAACAAAAAAUAAGAACAUUUCGAAAAAAAAUGUUUUUUUAUGACCAGGGAAGAAAAUCAACACGAUCGAAAUAAAACUAAUGUAACGAGCUAAGCAGUUGUCAAACCACCACAGCUUGACAAGACAAAGUUUGCAGGGACAGCUAGUUAUCAAUAAAUAUAUGCAUGACCAGUGAUCUGUUGAUGUUUUAUAAUACCGGUGUGUACUAAUGACAUUCAUAGAUCUCGUAGAACCUCAACAAGCCUAUGAGUUUGUAUGGGCACAUACCGCAUGUAGACACUUCAGAAGGAUGACCAACUCUGUUUGCAGGUCUGAAGGCCUGCCUUCAUUUCAACGAGUUCUUGGGAAAUCCUGAAGACCGCUAGAGUGAAUGAAGAUUCGAGUGCCGACAAAAAACCAUGUUAACAAAACCGAACAUCUCCUGUCCUUUCCCAAAUGAUUGACAGCCAUCCCUGCAACGCCUCUCUAAAGGAUUAUCGCGCAAUACUUAACUAUCCGAAUUCGAAAUUCACCAAAUGAAGUUUCUCUAUGUCAAACAUUGAUAACAAACCGAUCGGUUUUGGUACCGAAUCUAAUCAACCAAGCCACCACGUUCGAGGAAUCGCUCGCUCAAUGUGGCUACAGCAGCGACGAUGAUGAUGAUAAAUAACCUCCCGAUGUUGUCCGCUAUCGGUGAUCGUAAAUCACUUAAAGGGCGGUGUCCAAACUUUGCAAAACACCUUCCAGCGCAGCGAAGUGGUGCGUUGAACCGCGCAAAGUUCCGAAUUUGCGUGGAUAACAAAAUUCGAUCGGGGGUUGCGUUGCGUUGUUUGGCGACAACCUGGGUUGCUGUGUAAUUUUAAGGAUUAAGUAUUUAUUUACACUUUCCUUAUGUGGAGCAAUUUUCCGCGGAACGUCCAAUAAAGUUGAAGUAUUUAUGACCAAAGCUCAUUAGGACACGAGAGAGUGAGAGGUUGAACCGCUGCUGGCUGGACGCCCAACGAUGUUCUACGACGCGCGUGAAACCAUUUUGAACCACCAAUUCCUUUGAUAAAGGUGUCGAAAACUGGUUAACGAGAAGCGUUUUAAUUGUGAUUGGUUUUUUGAGCUCGCGUGGAAACCCGGCUGUCGAGUGGCCAUAAACUGCCGAAAAAUAUGCCGCAGAGGAUGGCGGGGACGCCGGGGCGAGAAGUGUAUUGGUUCAUGAAUAAUUCAUACGUAAAGGCGUACAAACGAUAUCCGUUGUGUGGCUGUGAGUGCGGCGGAUGCAGAUUUCUACAGAAACGAAAAAAAUCCGCUUCUGGUUGUGAAAGAUAGAAGGCAACGUCAAAAGUUCCAUGUGUGCGGAAAGUAUAUGACGCUAUGAUGAACCGUACGGCGGCUGAUAAAUCUGUCGGAUUCCGUCGCAGUCGGUGGGCGUAUCGAUAUGGAAGACACGGUUUCGACACACAACAGCUUGACAUGUGGCGAAUAGUGAUGCAUCGGGAACCAACGGUGGUGUACGAGGUCGAGGAGUGUUUCGAUUUGACGUAUGUAUGCGAAAUCUUCAAAAAUUUUGUAAAUGUACAUAUUGGCAAUAAUAUGUUCUGUAUAGUGCGAUCUGAGCUUCGUCGCUUUUAAAAACUUAGCAUUUACAUUACUGCUAAUAUUAAAAUAGCCAUUUGUAACGUAGGCUCGUGAUUUCCAUAGGUGGGAUAGCCUUUUCUAUGUUAUAGGCUCUAGUAUGCUUCAGUUCCAGAUGGAUCUUUCUAACAGUAUUUUUAAAAGAUAUUUGAAGCUUCUGUAAAAACAACUUCUACAGAAAAUUCCUUAAAGGGGCUUUUCAAAACCGACAAUGUCUGGAAACUCAGGAAGAUUUUUUGAAAUACACUGUGAAGGAAUGUAAAGGAAUAUCUGGAAAAAUUUCUGAAUCAAUAUCUAGAGGACUUAUAAGGAUUUCCUGGACGAAUUUCCGGAGCCAUCCCUGGAGGAAUUUCUAAAAAAAACUUGGAGAAAGUUCUGAAGUAAUCCGUACACGAUUUUCUCGAAGAAUACUUUAUGAAAUGUUAGAAAAAAAACCUCAAUAGAGUUUCUAUAGGAAUUCCUGGGGGAUUUUUGAAAUAAUUUGUGGAAGACUAAAACACAUUUUUUGAAGGAAUCAUUGAAGCGUUUCGUGAAGAAAUCCGUGAAAAGUGUCUGAAAAUAUAUCUAGAGGAUGUUUUGAUGGAAUUCCUGGACAAUUAUGUCAAACUGAAGGAAUUUCCCUAAAAAAUAAAUUUAACGUGUUCGAAAUCGAGUUUGCCCUGUAUUCCACAUCAGGAAGUGCGUUGAUGAUCGAUCAUCCUACAUCACGCAGCUCGGCUGGAUCAUCAAACGGUGUAUGUGUUCGAUAUUCGGCGUUUGGUGCCAAGAAUGCUGGUGCCAAAAGCUGUCCAAAUUGGCGUCGAUUCAAUCAUCUGCUUGAGCCAUCCAUCGCCGCCGCCAUUCGUAUCAGCUGGCUACGCAAUCUCACCGCUACAACAUGAUAUCGAUAGCAAUCAAUCAAAACGAACUCGAACACACCAGCAGCACACGGCCGGCUGAAUCUUCACGCAACCAUCUCACUCGCAUUGGAGAGGCUACGUCAAAAAAUUUUGAUGAAUUUUCCGCUAAUUAGUUGGUUGCCCGCGAUCCAGGUUGAAGAAAGUCGAGCUGUUUUAGUAACCUCAAUUUUAUCAGCGCCCGAGGAACGCCCGCUCCUGGAAUCGUUUCAGUCAGUGAUAUCGUUAUCGUCCCAUCAUCGCAUCGUUCGUCCGUAUCACCAGCGCGCAACACCUUGAGAGAGGGAGUGUUCGGUUGAAUGAUGAUAACGAAACGACCCCGUUAUCAGACCAUGUGUAGGUAUAAUGUGCGGCAUGGUCGAUGGAUGGGCUCGAAGAAGUGUGUGAUCAUCCAUCGACAAUAACAAUUCGUGGAAACGAUUACAGCAACCUGGGUGUGGAGUGGUUCCGUGAUAAACCCGGCUUGGGUCGCCGACUAGGAGGAUGUACCAAAGUUAAGCAACAACAACAACAUAUUCAGCAAGUCCUAACACAAGUUUAAAAAAUCAAAUUCAAAACUUCAGAUUGUAAACAAACUACAUCAAUGGCUUUUGUAAUAUAUCUAUAAACGUUGUGACACGAAAGUCUUUGUCAUAAUUUGGCAUUUUUAUCACAUUUAGCUUCUGUUAAUCCAAUAGCCUCAUUGGUAAAGCGACUGGUCUGUUUUGAAGCAAGUGAUGGGUUCUAAUCCUAAACGAGCAUAACUCCGUAAGUUUUUUUUUAACAUCGGAAGUACUCAACAGUAAGUCAAAAGUUAUAGGUUUAUCAUUCGUUUAACCAGAUUUCAAUAAACCGUUUCCUUUUUCCACAUACUCGGGCUAGUACUCGACCAGGAUUUGCGCCGAGAAGGGAAAACCCACAGUUGACCAACCUGCCGUGUGUCGUUUCAAACCGUAAACACCCUUAACCAUCAUCGUGAGUUCAACCUUAUCAACCACCAACCCGCAAUAGGUUCGAAACUCAAUCGUUCACGCAAGCGUAAACAUCCAGAUAGCUUGCCCAAACUACCUUUCAUUCUGUUCUACCGAGCCAUUGCAUCGGCGGCCAGCCACUCAUUCUGCAUGAUGUGAGGAAAUGCGAGUUGAAAAAGCUAUGUAAACAAAUAAUAAUAUUUAUACUGUUACCCUCUCCCGCCCCCACCACUUCCAAAUUCAAACGAGGAAUCGGUUGGCUGGAAGUGAGACCGCGGCGUUGCUUCCUCUCGUGGUUCGCUCUCUCAGCACGAUCGUCGUAGUUGUUGAUUAAACAACAAACUGAAUGGGAAUAAAUAGCAGACCAUCAUAGCCCCGCUUCAGAGCAGAGCAACGUGCGCGGUGUGUACCCCACCCAACCAUAGAGGUACUAGUCCUAGUAUAGAGAUAAGGUCGUGUUUGGUUUGUUUGGUGCGGUGUCUGCCUGCGACGAACUACAAGAAGAGCAGCACCAGCAAAACUUGUUCAAACAUAAACUGCGCUGGAUGACACUGUUGCAUUUCCUUGCUCAAAUGUUCAGAUAUCGGGAUCGAGAGGAUACCAAUUGUUUUGUGAAGGCUGGCAACAAUCUUGGAGUGGAAAUUGUUAUCUGAACUUUUCUGAAGUGCACUAUCAUUGGAAAUAGUCACGUGUUUCGACCAAACACUUGGUAAAUUUAGUCGUUUCUAGGGAAUUUCAUUCCGAUGCCGCUGACAGUUAGAUUUUCACGAUGGGUGAGCUCGUUUUAUGCUAUUGUACAAUACAGGCAUACCUCGAUAGUACGUACACCACCGCUUCGUUUAGUGUACGUACUAUCGAAUCACAAAUUUUUAUUUUAAAUUUCAUUUUCAAAUCAAAGAAUGUUAUUUCCAGAACGUCAGGAUUGCCAAAAAAUUACAUGUGGCCUGAGGGUCCGUUUAUUAAUUACGUAAUUUUGCCUGUUUAGGAUCCUAUCUUUAUUGUAAAAAUCUACUUGUACUCUGGGGUUGCUUCGUAGAGGCAUCUCGUCUCUGGGAAUUCAUAUUGAUUUUAUUUGAAUUAUCUUUUAGAAUUGAAUGGUUCUGGUGUAGAUAUAAUUAAAUCGAUCUAGAUCAGUUAUAUCUUGUUAAAGAAACAUUCUAGAAGCACCGUAAAAUGGGGUGUUGAGGGACGGAAAUUUUUUUCGUUCUCAUUAAUUCAUGGGUUCUACUUCUUAAAACUUUCAGGAAAAGCAGUCCGAUCAUUGUCUUGCUGCCUGCUACGCGUAUAGAUUACAAAAUUUGACGAUUUUUUGGAGAAAUUGGAGAUAUUUAACAAAAUGUGCAAUUUUUUGGAAAAUAUGAAAAUGGGGUGUUAAGGAAUUUAAGGGAAUGAAUGUAAAAGUUCUCAUAUUUCAAAGAAAGAUAAAAAUUGAUUAAUUGUAAACAGUGACUGUAAUAUUUCUUGAACAUCACCGAAAAAGAUUAUAAUAGUCCUGAAGGUGCAGGGACAGUUUCAUUGCCAUCUACCUUUGUAUAUGACUUUUUUUUUUUGUUAAAGUUUCGAAAUCCGAAAAAAUACCGUCAGUUGUACCUGAGUGGCUUCAGUUUUUAACGAACACAUUAUUCAUACAUAGUUACAAUUUACAGUAACCAAAUUGAAUAGUUCAGACUGAUCAAUGGGUUGUAAACUAAGGAUGUGUAUUUACAGUUUUUUGAUCACUUUAAAACUCAUUUAUAUUAAAAUGGGUCAUCUUAGCAUUAUUAGAUGACCCUGGGUGUUAACGGUGUAUUCAAUGCUGAUAUUUCUACUUGGAGCAUCGCUGAUAGGUCGUAUUAUAGAUUCUGAGAUAUUUUAGCGGCCAUGAGUCAUCUUCAUCAAUAUUUUCUGUGGAGCGGACCUGGUGUGAUGGCUAGAACACUUGACUAUCACGCCGAGGACCUGGGAUCGAAUUUCACUCCCGACAAACUCGCAAAAUGUGAGUUCUUCCUUCGGAAGGGAAGUAAAGCGUGGGUCCCGACAUGAACUAGCCUUGGGCUGGAAAUCUCGUUAAUACAGAAUAGAAAAAAUACUUUCUUUUUCAAGAGUUAGUGGCAGUAUGGUUUACAUAAUAUAUGGAUCAAGUGAGCAUAUUCCACAUUUUCAAAAAGCUGUCACGUUCCAGCGCCAACCAUAAAUAAUAUUUAACUAAUAAAACAGACGGAAAAUCUACGUUAAAACGUAAAUAUACACCUAAAGACCACAAACUUCUGCAAAGAGGGGACUACUGCGGCAUUGAGUAAUAAAUAUUUGACCGUUUUUCUAAUUAUAUGUAUCAAUCUAAUACUUGUUUCUCAUGAUCUAUAUUGUAUUAGUUGUUAGCAACUGUUGGGAUGUCUAUGACCCAAAAUUAAAUCCGUAAUACGUCAUUCAGAAUAGUAACUGUUAUACAAUGAAUCAAUCGCCUCAAAACAUCAUGAUACAAAUAAAAAAGUUAUAUGAGAAAUUCAAUCCCCUAACACCCCACCAGUUUAUGAAAUUAAUCUUUUUUCACAAAAAAUGUUGGUGUUCGAAAACCACAUUAGUUACAACAAAUAUUUUACCCUAGUUUCAUUAAAAAUGAGUUGUAGAACACCUUACGAUUACUCACAUAUUUUUUCCUAAUAAUAUUUCUGGCCUCACAAAUGAAUGUUUCAAUGGUAGCGAAAUUGAGAAAAAGCAAUGUCGUUCUAUUUUUGAUGUCUAGUGUCCAGUUAAAAACGUAUUUACAUGAGUGGUAAUCCUUAUAAUAUGCCUUUAUUUCCAACACACAUUUGAGGCGAAUUCAGAAUAAGUAAAUAUAUUUUUAUACGGUUUAGCAAUUUUUCAAAGUAGUGUGUGAAGAUGAAUCCCUUAACACCCGAUGAGUUCUUAACACCCCAUUUCACGGUAUUUUCUCCUGCAAUAUUUAUUGCCGUGAUAUUUUCAAAAUCGUCUGAACAUUGCUCCUUCUAGGACACCUUCAAGAGCAGGGAUGGAAACACUCACUUGCAAAGAGUUAAACUCACUUGCUUUUUUCUCAGCUCAGAAACGUGCAAUUAAGAAACGAUGUAUGGAUGGACGACUUUUGCCUUGUGGUUUUGUCUAAAACAUCGCCGAACAGAGUAGGGGUCGCACACGAUCCCAAAGUCAUGACAAAGCUGUGAAAGCGACUCUCCACGAGGUGAGUGUAAAUUACAUUCACCUCGUGGAGAGUUGCCUUCGCAGCUCCCUCACGACUUCGGUAUGCGUGUGCGAUCCCUUCUCUGUUCGGCAAACUUUUAGACAAAAUCACAAGGCAAAAGUUGUCCAUUCAUCGUUUUUUGAUUGCACGCUUCUGAGCUGAGAAAAUAGCAAGUGAGUGUAAAUCUUUGCAAAUGAGUGUUUCCAUCCUUGUCCAAGAGUUUAAUUUUUUACGAGAUGGGAAUCCCGGAAUUCUUGGAGGAAUUCAAGGAAAAAUUAUUUGAUGAAUAUUAGAAAGAAUUUCUGUAGGAAUCUCGGAAUGAAUUUCUGGAGGAAUCUUGGAAUGAAUUCAUGGAGAAAUACCGGAACGAAAUUCCUGGAGGUAUUCAGGAAGGAAUUCCUGAAGAAAUCCUGGAAGUCCCGAAAGUAUUACAGAAGAAAUUCUUGGUGAAGUUUCGGAAGGAAUCUUUGGAGAAAUCUCUGAAAGAGACCCUGGAAUCUCAUUAGGAAUCGCAGAAGAAACUCCUGGAAGAAUCCCUAAGGAAUCCCAGAAAGAAUUUCUGGAGAAAUCAUGGAACCAACCUAAAGGAAUUUCGGAACUGAAAGAAACUUGAAACUUGAAGAAAUUCCUAAAGCAAGCGGGAAAGCGAAAUGUCUUUCCCCGAAUCCCACAAUUCGGGUUCACCCAGAAACAACUGAAUUGGUACAGCCUAUAGGACAAUGCAAGCCGCGGUUGCUAAAGAAUUUUUUUCUAAGUUUUUGAUGUUUUGUGACCUUUUUGUUUACGUUCGGACUUCUAGUGAUUUCUUCCAGAAUUUCUCAAGAAGUCCCCGGAAUCCUCCAGGAAUUUCAUCUGAGAUUCUCCGAAUAGUUUCUUCUAGAAUAUCUCUGGAUUUAUUUUUUUGGGCUUCCAGAUAGUAUUCCUGGAAAUUCUAGCAACUUCACCCAGAAUUUCAUUAGGAGUUCUUUCGGUGUAUUAGAAAUUUUUACCGAGAUUCCUUUAAAAACUCCUUGCAACUAUCCAGGAUUUAUUCCUUGAAUUUAAUAAGAGAUUCUUCGAGCUUCUUCUAGGAAUUCUUUCAGAAACUGAUUCCGGGAUUUCUUCGAGAUUUUUUUCCAGGAAUCAUCUAGGGACUCUCUUUUGGUUUCUACCAAGGGCUCCGUCAGGAAUUCCUGCAGACCCUUCUGGAAUUUUUUCAGAUGUUCGUAAUGGAGAUCCUCCUGGAGUUCAUUACGAAUUUUUGGAGUAUUUUGUUUAUGGAAAUCCUCAUGUAGUUUCUGUAGGAUUUUCUUGAAUAAACACAGGAAAAGCAAUUUAGUUAUAGCUCCCUCCUAGAGGAAUUCUGCAAUAAGUUUGUGGAGGAACCACGGGAGGAAUUUUUUUUAAAGCGAUAGUCCGAAUCGUAAACAACAAAGCCACGAAACGUCAAAAACCAAGAACAUUUUCCUUAGCAACCGCGGCUUGCAGUGCCCUACGGUACUCAAAGAAGUUUAAUUUUCCGAACUCAUGAAAAACUGUCAAACAUUUUAUACGUAUCGCAAAAAAAGUUAAUUGCUGGAAAACGAAAAAAAACAA